GAUUGGAGUCUGCAACCCGACUCCAUGAAGCUGGAUUCGCUAGUAAUCGCGCAUCAGCCACGGCGCGGUGAAUACGUUCCCGGGCCUUGUACACACCGCCCGUCAAGCCAUGAAAGCCGGGGGGCGCCUGAAGUCCGUGACCGCGAGGGUCGGCCUAGGGUGAAACCGGUGAUUGGGGCUAAGUCGUAACAAGGUACC
This 198-nucleotide ribosomal RNA is filed under the name uncultured bacterium. RNAcentral describes it as "partial 16S ribosomal RNA". It matches the Rfam family "Bacterial small subunit ribosomal RNA", at positions 1296 to 1500 of the family's 1533-position model. The record is from RNAcentral.